GACGAACGCUGGCGGCGUGCUUAACACAUGCAAGUCGAACGAAGAGCGAUGGAAGCUUGCUUCUAUCAAUCUUAGUGGCGAACGGGUGAGUAACGCGUAAUCAACCUGCCCUUCAGAGGGGGACAACAGUUGGAAACGACUGCUAAUACCGCAUACGAUCUAACCUCGGCAUCGAGGAUAGAUGAAAGGUGGCCUCUACAUGUAAGCUAUCACUGAAGGAGGGGAUUGCGUCUGAUUAGCUAGUUGGAGGGGUAACGGCCCACCAAGGCGAUGAUCAGUAGCCGGUCUGAGAGGAUGAACGGCCACAUUGGGACUGAGACACGGCCCAGACUCCUACGGGAGGCAGCAGUGGGGAAUCUUCCGCAAUGGACGAAAGUCUGACGGAGCAACGCCGCGUGAGUGAUGACGGCCUUCGGGUUGUAAAGCUCUGUUAAUCGGGACGAAAGGCCUUCUUGCGAAUAGUGAGAAGGAUUGACGGUACCGGAAGAGAAAGCCACGGCUAACUAUGUG
This 510-nucleotide ribosomal RNA is filed under the name uncultured bacterium. RNAcentral describes it as "partial 16S ribosomal RNA". It matches the Rfam family "Bacterial small subunit ribosomal RNA", at positions 28 to 507 of the family's 1533-position model. The record is from RNAcentral.